CCUUAGGGCAGGUAUGACCGAGACCUGGUGCGGGAGUGUUGACCGGUCGGGUAAAGCCAGCCCUACCGCUCGACUCAGUUGCACCCGCAGGGAGUGUGCGUUCACUCUGACUCGGCCCAGCUCCCCCUCCCCGCCGAAGCGCGGAGGCGAAUGAGAGCUGAGUCCAGGGGAGCAGCUCCCCGACUCACGCCCGCAGCAAGCCGUGUUUAAAAUACAUUCAGCCACUAGAUGUCGCUGUGGCCCCACCGCGAGGACGCGGAAGGAGGCGCUGCGGAGCACGGGCGGCGUGACCACAGCGGUCGGGGCUAACUCUGGAAGGCCAGGUGCUCGGAGGAGGCUCCCCAACUGGGGCCGGGCAGCGUCCAAGCAGACGAGGAAACAGAUUCAGAUGGCAAAGGCAGGCCAGCCCCAAGAGCGUCUGUUGGCAGAGGUGUCAAAGGAGACGUUGGAGACAUUAUCUUGGAUCCAGGAAAUGAAGGGAUUCACAGGUGUGUAGACUCCCAGGAGGCCAGGCUCCGAGCAGGGACCCCAGAUCAUCACAUUCUGCAGCUCCCAGCUUGGGAGCAGACUAGGGGAGUCCCAUCAACCAUCUGCACGAGGGAGAGAAGGAGCAGUCUCAGCCCAGCCUGCGCCCACUGAACCACCCCCUGCCUGAUAUGACAAUAGCGCAAGUGACAAAAGACUAAACAUAACUGGACUUCAUCAAAAUUAAAAACUUUUGUGGAACAGAGGACGUUAUCAAGAAAGUGAAAAGACAACCUGAGAAAUGGAACUAAAUAUCUGUAAAUCAUGGGAAGUAAAUAUCUGUAAAUCAUCUAAUAA
Molecule: long non-coding RNA, 822 nt
Organism: Symphalangus syndactylus (siamang)
Lineage: Eukaryota; Metazoa; Chordata; Mammalia; Primates; Hylobatidae
Source: RefSeq, a predicted model, not a curated record